AAAGUCGUAACAAGGUUUCCGUAGGUGAACCUGCGGAAGGAUCAUUCACAAUGAGUGUUUAAUGGCACUCUAAAUCCAUUACCCACCUUGUGUGCAAUGUCGGGGAGAACACCCACCCCACUCUUCUGAGAGGGAGGGAUCAUGUUCUUCUUUUCAUACAUACCAACUUUUCAGUAUCAGUCUAUAUCUAUUUAGAGUAUAAAAAACUCGAAAUACAACUUUCAACAACGGAUCUCUUGGCUCUC
Molecule: unclassified non-coding RNA, 245 nt
Filed under: Mucoromycotina sp.
Lineage: Eukaryota; Fungi; Mucoromycota
Description: partial contains small subunit ribosomal RNA, internal transcribed spacer 1, and 5.8S ribosomal RNA
Rfam family: Eukaryotic small subunit ribosomal RNA (bases 1-47)
Source: RNAcentral